This 620-nucleotide long non-coding RNA is filed under the name Volvox carteri. Its description in RNAcentral is "long non-coding RNA (VCAR_LNC004112)". Lineage: Eukaryota; Viridiplantae; Chlorophyta; Chlorophyceae; Chlamydomonadales; Volvocaceae. The record is from RNAcentral.
UCGAACCCGCGACGUGGUGGACAGAGAGACGGACGGACGGAGUGACGGCGAAUCGGCCUAAGGCCUCCGCUUUCCUACUUCGUAGGACCUACGGCGAUCAAGAACACUAGCGGCUUCUGUUCUAGAUAGUUCUAGUCCUACAUUUAAAUUCCUCGCAACCGUAUUGAAUUGCUCGUGGCUCAUCACAUGCGCAAAGCCAGGCUGCGUGGGACAGGGGUUUACACUGGAAGUACUCGCUGUACUGGUCAGACAUACAGGAGGUAUGGCUCAUGAUGGCUGGCAGUAUAUAGGCCUGAUCUGAAGCAGACUGCAGCCAUCCCCCCAGUGUAUGUGUAUGUAUUAGCUGGCCACCAAAAAGGCCUCUCGAGAUGCUGGGAAGACAUGCACUCCAGCAUGUAUAUGUAUGUAUGUAUGGUGUGGGUGCUGUACUGUACAACAGCUUUUACACUCCUUGCCCUCGCUCUGAAGGUGUCUGUCUUAGGCCCUCACCGGUGUGUCCCCACCACACCAGCUUGCAAUUGUCCCUACCUAGUCCUACCCUUUGGGCAGUAGAGUUGCCAGUCCAUGUCAUAUCAGCAGUGCCUCUUCACAUGUGUCCAGCCUUCUUUUCAGGUUGUCCA